This is a long non-coding RNA of Neofelis nebulosa (Clouded leopard), 5226 nucleotides long. RefSeq lists it as uncharacterized. Lineage: Eukaryota; Metazoa; Chordata; Mammalia; Carnivora; Felidae. The transcript is spliced from 2 exons. The record is from RefSeq and is a predicted model, not a curated record.
CCCGAGCUGCCUUUGGGCUUCCAGGAAAAACAGUAGGGGGUUAACAGACUCCGGAGGAUUGGAUGGGAUUCUGUACGGCGCCUCGCACAGAAGAAAUUCCAUAGGAAAGAGACGGAUGCUCUUCGUCCCGUCCAGUCCCGCCCCCCGUGUAGUCUCUUCUGGAGAUACCGAGAACCGCCUCCCCGUAGCUGUCAAGCUUUGAGCCUGACACGUGAAGAACCAGGAACGCGGAACACGCUCAGGAAACAUUAGGACUAUACUAUCUUGGCGAUGAGCAGGGGGAGACCGCAGCCAGCCAACUUGUGCGCGGCGGCCUGACCGGCCGCUUUCCCUUUAAGCACCUGCGCGCCCAUCCCGCGGAGGGAGCGGCGCGAGGCUCAAGCGCGCUGCCAAGCACUCAGAUUCCUCCGCCGAGCGCGGCGCCCGUCUUCCCCAGAUUUCCUCCUUCCGCUCCCGCCCGCGGGCUUCGGGGCUCCGGGUUCGCACUUCCCCCCGCCGCUAGUUCCGGUGAGCCCGCCCACCGGCCUUCGGCCCUGGGACUAGACGCGGCCCGAGCCGCGGGGCCGCCCCGCGAGGACCCGCUGCCGGGAUCCGUUCCCCGCCCCCCUUCCCCGAGGCCGACACGCACUUCCGGCGACGCGGCGGCUGGGACCGAGCAGGGAGGGGAGCGGGGCGGCGGGCGGUGACGGAUGCCCUGAUGGUCAGGAUGCGGGACCUCCUCACCCCGAACUAUGCGCUGCGCGGGGAGCGCCACGAGCUCACGGACCGGGUGCGGCGGCGUCUGUGCGAGACGGCCAAGCUGCUGGCCUAGGUGCGUCCGCCCGCCCGCCCGCCUGCCUGCCCCAUGCCCGAAACGUUUAAUGUAGUUCUUCCCGGCUUCCCGAGUUUUUAUCGAAGCAGCCUCUUCCUUGAGGUUCUUCGAGGCCAGAUUCUCCAGCGACACCGUGAAGGUGGUAUUUCUAAUCAGCCGCCUCACUGGGGCGGCCGAGGAGUGGGUAGUAUCCUACAUCCAGAGGGAGAGCCCCAUCCUGGCUCAUUAGGACGCUUCGUGGACGCGCCGGAGCGGGCCGUUGGCCGGAAUGAGUAGAAAAGAAGGCUUCGAGCCUCUUCCCUCGGCUUUGGUUCCGGAGAGCUCUCUAGUGGCCAGCUGCUGGGCCCCGUCCCUCGCUUGGAAGCUUGUCCGCCUCCUGUUCUGGCCAGCCCCACGGCCUUUGUACCCUGCCCAGCUGUCAGAGGAGACCUGUUAGAAAUUGAACAGGCCCCCCAGGAUCACCCUCUGCCACCUGCCGUCUCUGAAGGUUGCCGCUGACCGCCUUUGAAAAUCAGGGCCAACCUAGGAAGUGCCUGGGUUUGUCACACCUCUGUAGAGACUGAUUCUCUGAUUCUGGAUAGCUCAGGCCAGGAGACAGAUUGUAGUAGGUUAGUGAGCCUGGCAGCCAAGUUGACAUUUCUCCCGCAGGAACCAGCUUUCCAUACUGGUUCCAUGCUUCAUUUCUGUUCCGAAACCACAAGUCUCCUAGAUCGUGCCUUUUGGGCAGAGAAACCCAGGCGCUGGACACUACAUGGAAAAAGUGUUUACUUUUAAGACCUUACAUAUAAGUCUUAACAUUACCACAUGCCCAGUACUAGGUGUUAACAGGAAAGGCAGAGAUGAAGAAGACAAAGACGUGACUUCAAGAAGACGAUUUUGUCCUGAGAAAAAAUUCUAAGUGCAUAUUCCGUGUGAAGCGUGUGUGAAGCGUGCAUAUUGGAUUCUUUUCAUGGUCUUUUUAACUUUUUACCCCAUAGUGAAUGAGUUAAAAACAUGUGCAGCUUACAAAGGAGGCAGAACCCAACUUAAACAGUUUUUAGAUUUGUUACUGAUUCUUUAAAGAUGCAUAUGACUUGUGGCAAAAAAAAAAAAAAAAAAAGAUGGUACAUUCUUUAAAGUAGAGCCACUUGGCUUUAUUAUAUUAAAUUACUUAGAACUCUUUUUUUUUUUAAUUACACAUUUUGCCUCAGUUUUUCUUCUAUAAUUAAAGACAUGACUUGAUUAUUAAAUUCAGGUUCAAAAUUCUGUGAUUCUCUCAUGGGGUCAAAGGGAAGAAAAAGGAAGAUCCAGACGUCCUGUUGCCAAAGGGGUUCUUGAAACCCCCUAGUGAGGAAAAUCUGGAAUUGCCUUUCCUUUUAAAGGUUUUUGUUUUAUUUUGUUUUGUUUUGUUAAUGCUUAUUUAUUUUGAGAGAGGAGUGAGCAGAGCAGGGGCAGAGAAGGAGAGAGAAUUCCAAGCAGCCUCCCCGCUGUCAGUGCAGAGCCCAAUGUGCUCCUUCAGAGCACAGCCUGCUUAGGCUUAGGAUUCUCUCUCUCUCUCUCUGUCUCCCUCUCUCUGCCCCUACUCUGCUUGCAUGCACACACGUGUGUGUUCUCUCGCUCUCGCUCUCUAGAAAGAAAGAAAGAGAGGAAGGAGGAAGAGUUGAAAAACUCAUCACUGCCUUUUUUAUGGACAAUUUAUAUACCUUAGGACCGUAGUAAAAACCUCUAUAGUUUUGUAAGAUUGUGAGAUAUGAUUAAAACACAGGUUAUAACAAUUAUAUUUAUCAUUGCCGGUUAGCAUUAUAGGAGUUUAUAAGGAAACUGGUCCCCUCAGCAGGAUCUUUUAUAUACCACAUUUUUGCAGCAUAUAUGUACUAACAAAAUGAAUCUUGGACAUGUUGACUGAUAGUUCAGAGCAGUGUUUUGUUUUGUUUUGUUUUCCACAGUAAAAAAAAGUCUAUAAGACAUGGCACCAAAAUAUUUUUUCAGUAAAUCUCACAUAUUUGAUAGUAUACAAAAACUUCUUAAGGAAAGGCCAGCAUCAACAUUUAAUAAGUCAAAUACAGCUGGAAGAAAAUGUAACUCGGAAGUCAAAAUGUCUCAUACUUAGUUUUCUACCCUUUUUUUGGCGGGGGGCAGGGGGGAGGAUCAUUGAGAUCUAAAAACAGAAGAAAGCACAUGAGGCUUUCUUAUAGUUACAUAGAAAGAUAGGAUGGGGGGAGAGAAGGCCACAGGUCAGUGACUUCCACAUCAGAUUUUUCCACCUCUGAAAUCAGAUCAUAACAGAUCAGUUUAUGAUCAAUUAUGAUCAGCUCAUCAUUUUCUUUAGCGUUCUGCUGAAUGGUCUCCAAGCAUGGUUCUGUAUCUGGUCCCUUGCCAGGCUCACCUAGAGGGCCAACAGGACACUGGGGCCCUCCUCCAGACCUGAGCCAUUUCCUUAUCUGCUAGGUUGAAUUUCUCUUCUGUGUGGGCCUUUAUUGCUUGAUAUCUUUGGCCUGACAUUUCAAUUCAUAAUAUGUAGUGCUCAGUACACUUCUUCAUUCUUGGGACAGUCUUCAGUCACCUUGCGCUUUUCGAAUCUCUUGAAAAGUUCAGAGAAAGAUCUUUUUGUGGAGUUCGUGUCUACAGUAAGUGGAUCUUUUCCUUUGAGACCUAGAUUUUGGCUUUGGCAAGCUCCUUCUGUUUCACCCUCCUCCAUCACCUCAGGUACAGCCCCUGAAAAUCCAUCCAUAAUUUCCCCCAUCUCCAGGCAUUGCUUGUGGAGCUCCUCAUAUUUGCUUUUUAAUUCCAGAUGUUCCAUUUACCUGGCUUUAACUGCUAUAUCCAAGUUCUUCUGGCUAAACUGCAGUACAUCCAUGAUGGGAACAAAGGACAGAGGCAGGUCUAUUUGCAGGUCUUUCAAAUAAAAGUACAAAUUCAGAGCGUGCACAAGGAGCACGACUAUGUGUCCUCAGGCCCAAGCUACAGAGGACAGUUUCCAGGAUGCGGGCAGCCUCCAACCUCAAGCUUUCUGCACUUCUCUUCAUGAAAGUGAAACUCUCCUCUGGGUCCAUGUCUGGUUCUGCCCAUGCUGAGGAAGUGGGGGGAGGGGGGUGUGGAGCUCACUGCCCAGAUUGCUUAUGUGAGCUGAUGCACCCCAACAAUCCACUGUUCCUCCCUCACCUGCUGCUUUGGAGACCGCUUUGACAGUGUGGCUUUUUAUCCUCAAGUGAUUCCAAAUCGACAUCCAAAAUUGAGGAGUACUGAUAAAAGAUAGACUGCCCCCCUCACACCCCUGUAGAGAGCCAGGUGAACCUAAGAAGGGGUCCAAUGUGAAAAAAAGUUGCACAAUUGUUUAGUUUCUCUCUAUAUAAGUUUUCCCUAUAUAAGUUUCGCUCUAUAGCUUUACUUGGUUUGAGCAUUUUGAGUUGCCAGAAAAUCAGGCAACUCUUUGUAUAUUAAGUUAGAGAAUGCACUCCAGAGCCAAAUGAGCAUUUAUUUAUUUUAUUUUAUUGGUAAUGCCUUUGCUUUUAUUUCCCUCUUAUGCAAGUAGUUAAGAUUUGACUGUCUUAGCUAAAGUGUAAUUCAUUCAAUCUCUUUAUUUCAGACGUCUUGAUUUUGUGCCAAUUAAUUAAAGGUAAUUUGCUAGCAGAGCAGGUAAUGCAAACUGCAGAUAAUUAUGAACUCAAGUUAAAUAAAAUUCUUCAUCUUCCCUAGACCCCUUUCAAAUGGCCCGCUGUCCACUGUCCUGUGCAGCGAUUCUCAAGCGUGAGGGAGCAUCAGUCUCCCCUGAGGAGCUUAUUAAAAAUCAUAGAUCGCUGGGUCUGAUCUCCAGAGUUUCUGAUUGAGUAGGCCUGGGUUGGGAUCUGAGCAUUUGCAUCUCUAAUUAAAGUUCUUAGGUGAUGCUGAUGCUGUUGGCAUAAGGAUAAAACAAAUCAGAAGAAAAAUAUUUAAUUCUCCCUGGUGCAAAGAAAAAAGAAAGCGUUUACUUGAGAAGACCUAUCAUUGUAUGCUCUUCCUCUGCCUCCUGAAAUGUGCAGGAAUCUUUUUAAAGGCUAAGUGGGCCCUUUGUUCUCUCAACAAUCCAGGAAUUUCUCUUUGAAAUGGGACUUGGAGCCAUCACUUUGACAUGUAAUCAUCAGGGAAGGCAGGGCGCCUAGGUGCCAGUUUGCUGGGAGGAUCAGAGGCUAACUUCAGAAAGUACCUGGCUCCAAAUUACAAACCUAUUUUAUGUCAUAACAUAUGAGAAAUUUAUUCUUCCUUUGUAUGAAGACAAUCAGGCUUCUUGAGAAUUAGUUACCGUUUAUUUUGAGAAGAUGGUUGUGAUGGGUUCAUCUGCCUGCCUAAAAAAAUGGGUGGGAUUUUUUCCUGUCUUUGCCAUUUUUUUAGUGGCUUUCCUGUGAUCCACAUUCUGGCUUAAUGUUUAUUCAAUAAUAAACCUGUUUUCUUUCUCCUCU